AUCUUCUUCCUUCUUCUUCAUCGUGUGUUUCAGUCGCCCGUCCUCUGUUUUCUUUCUUCUUCUUCUCGAUCAACUGCACUGUCGCCCACGCACUCCCUAUCUCCCGUCGUUAGCCAAGUUGUCGCGUACCCAUCUGCUUCCUUGCAAGUCCGAUAGCCGCGCGUCAUGGAGCGCAAACCGUCUCAGCCAGAUUUGUGUUCGUCCACGAAGCAUCACCACCAUGGUCUUCGUCCGUCAUUUGUGAAGUGCCAGCCGCCAGUUGUCUGUCGCGAACCUGAGCCUGAUCUGAGCCGAAUACUUCAAAUUCAAGUCGCAUGCGACCCUUGACUUCCUGUCAUGAGUGCAAGCUGGUGGUCACUUCUUCAAGUAAGCCAUCUGUAUCUGCUUUGCACUCCGUCAUUCAACUAAAUUCGUUCGUCGCUGUCUCUUUUUCGCUGUGACUUGAAGUGGGUUUUGUUGGUAAGAUUGAAGUGGUGGGUUUUGUAGUUGUUUCACAAUUAUUUUAAGUGUUAUUGUUGAAUUAUUUGUUUGGGUUGUCAUUGGCUCCUUGAAGGCGAUAUAGGAGAAUUUGUGCUCCAAUCAUUGAGUUUCACAACAAACUUUAUUGGAAGUUUAUUCUUCAUUUAUGUGGGUAAGUUAGGAAUUCACUUUUGGAUGAAUUGAG
This 664-nucleotide long non-coding RNA is filed under the name Cucumis sativus (cucumber). RNAcentral's name for it is "long non-coding RNA (CSAT_LNC001072)". The record is from RNAcentral. Lineage: Eukaryota; Viridiplantae; Streptophyta; Magnoliopsida; Cucurbitales; Cucurbitaceae.